This 1492-nucleotide long non-coding RNA is filed under the name Equus caballus (horse). Its description in RNAcentral is "lncRNA (ENSECAG00000039255.3)". Lineage: Eukaryota; Metazoa; Chordata; Mammalia; Perissodactyla; Equidae. The record is from RNAcentral.
UGAGUUCAGCAUGAGUAGAUGGAGAAGUAAUGGAAGAAAAUGGAUUGAAGCCAAAUUACAAAGGCCCUGGUUGUUAUACUGAGGACUUCAGCCUUUAUUCUGGAUCAGUGGACUCCAGGUCUCACGGAAUGCUGAAUUUUUCGAGCACUCACCACAAGGUCUCAAGCCCCCGAGGACUACCAGGCAAAUUUCCAACAAAGCUGGGUUCACAACUGAGAAUUCCCAGUGUAUGGCACCACAAGGAAAAUAGCUGCAUUUGGAUAGUGACAUGGAGUGACUUAGAACCAGAACAGGCCUUAGGGAUCAGCUGGUCAUUUGACAUGUAACGGAGAAGAUGAGAGAAGACCAAGGACACACCGCUUAUGGGAGUCAAGAUCAGGACUCUUUCAUGAGGCCGUAUUACGUAGAAAUCAUGCAUCGGACUUACUUGAGUAUUGGUAUUUAGCACCAACACCAAAGUUCAAGAAGAGGAAACAGUACAGCAGUUGCAGUUUCAUAGUCUGAAAAGUACCUGUGUAUUGUUUUCUUUUAAAUCCUUGUGGUAGAGUUGCCUUAUAAUUCUCUUGUUGGAAGAAAGAACAAAGACACUUUAGAAGCAAAGCUGGAUCAGGUUUUUAUUACAUAUUUUAUUAGAUGUUUGGGACAAGAUGACCAAAUUUAAAUAACAUGCUAUAGAAUAUUAAGAUUCAAUAGCAGUUUCAUAUUCCAGAAUACAAAGAGUUAAACUUCUACGUCAAGACCUUCAAAGGUCAUGGUUAAGAGGCAAACAGAAGAGUGCAGAGGUCCCAUCACGACCUGUCUGCUGAAGGCCUCCAUGCCCCUUCGGAUGGGAGCUUUGGGUCAGUUGUACAGUCACAUGGCUCACCCAUUGGUUCGUGUUUUUUUCCAGAAAUAGAAUCAAUAGAGAACAGACAAACCCACAGUUGCCAGUUUGUACAGUCUUGUGGUUUCUGUCAGGGGCUACAGGCUCGAGCAGGUCUACCAGAUAAUGAAGGCAAACUAUUUCAGUUCCUGUGGGUCCAGAGCGCCUCAGCAGAGUUCUGGUUUCAAACAAAUGAAUAACAAAUUAAAAGGUACAGUAAAAUAAGGGGGUGGUUAAAAUAUAUUAACUAAAAUCAAUGGAGGAGAAACGUAGUUAAAAAGCCUGCAUUCUCAGCAGUAGUCUGUGAUGUAUUUUGUUAAUCUCUUAAAAUUUAUGUUAAAAGCCUUUUAACAGAAAGUCAAUAUAUUUGGGUGGUUGAGCGAGUAUAUCAUCCUCUACCGGCAGUUGCAUUAAAUACGAGGCAGGCUCCACUGUUUGUAGGAAAUGAACAGGGGUCCAUCCAACGGAAGUCCCACCUCAAGGAGACCAGACAUUUUUCCCAAAACAGCCUGUGGAGCCAAGCUCACUAUUAGCCCCCCCCCCUUUGCUUAGGUUCCCCACUGACGUCAACGAGAGUCCUGGAAAUGAAGCGGGAUCAGAAUACCAGAAGCAUAGCCUAAUAAUAGAGCC